AAGUCGUAACAAGGUUUCCGUAGGUGAACCUGCGGAAGGAUCAUUAAAAAAAAUGAAGUUGGGAUUUUUUAAUCUCGAACUAUCUGAACAAUGUGGUAUUAAUGAAAUUUGAAUUGGGCUUAAAAAUGGUGUUUUCGUAAGAGAAUAUCGGCUCAAACAACUUUAUAAACUCUAUUAUUAUUUGACUGAAUUAUCAAGUAAAAUUAAUCCGAAUGGGAUUAAAAAAAGUUUAAAUAACUUUCAACAACGGAUCUCUUGGUUCUC
RNAcentral lists this unclassified non-coding RNA (264 nucleotides) under air metagenome. RNAcentral's name for it is "partial contains small subunit ribosomal RNA, internal transcribed spacer 1, and 5.8S ribosomal RNA". The stretch from base 1 to 46 matches the Rfam family "Eukaryotic small subunit ribosomal RNA", at positions 1786 to 1831 of the family's 1831-position model. The record is from RNAcentral.